RNAcentral lists this ribosomal RNA (253 nucleotides) under uncultured bacterium. RNAcentral's name for it is "partial 16S ribosomal RNA". It matches the Rfam family "Bacterial small subunit ribosomal RNA", at positions 524 to 776 of the family's 1533-position model. The record is from RNAcentral.
UACGAAGGGGGCUAGCGUUGCUCGGAAUCACUGGGCGUAAAGGGUGCGUAGGCGGGUCUUUAAGUCAGGGGUGAAAUCCUGGAGCUCAACUCCAGAACUGCCUUUGAUACUGAGGAUCUUGAGUUCGGGAGAGGUGAGUGGAACUGCGAGUGUAGAGGUGAAAUUCGUAGAUAUUAGCAGGAACACCGGUGGCGAAGGCGGCUAUCUGGACGACAACUGACACUGAGGCGCGAAAGCGCGGGGAUCAAACAGG